CUUUUUGCCUCCAAAAUGAUGUGUCAGAAUUGCUAUACAUGUCAGAAUGCAUCCUAAAGUUGAAGUCUACUAGUAUUUCUACACAACCAACACAGUGAAACUAACCUCAGAGUAUUCCCACCCUUAAGAUUACAAUGCUUCUAACAUCUGACGCUGUCUAAAACCUGACUCCUGGAAAACUGGACUGUUGUUCGUCUGAAGAGAUUCAAAGAAGUGGGCAACGAAGAAUCUUUAAAGGAACCUUUAUAUAGUUUCAUGUUUAUAUCAGAGACACCAAUGAAUACUUAUUGUUGUUAUCAUUAGCAUUGCUAACCAUUUAUAAAUUUUAUAUUUCAUCGAGGA
This is a long non-coding RNA of Homalodisca vitripennis (glassy-winged sharpshooter), 342 nucleotides long. RefSeq lists it as uncharacterized. The transcript is spliced from 2 exons. NCBI's taxonomy places the organism in Eukaryota, Metazoa, Arthropoda, Insecta, Hemiptera, Cicadellidae. The record is from RefSeq and is a predicted model, not a curated record.